GACGAACGCUGGCGGCGUGCCUAAUACAUGCAAGUCGAACGAGAGCGACCGGUGCUUGCACUGGUCAAUCUAGUGGCGAACGGGUGAGUAACACGUGGGUAACCUGCUCAUCAGAGGGGGAUAACAUCCGGAAACGGAUGCUAAAACCGCAUAGGUCUUCGAGCCGCAUGGCUUGAAGAGGAAAAGAGGCGCAAGCUUCUGCUGAUGGAUGGACCCGCGGUGCAUUAGCUAGUUGGUGAGGUAACGGCUCACCAAGGCCGUGAUGCAUAGCCGACCUGAGAGGGUGAUCGGCCACAUUGGGACUGAGACACGGCCCAAACUCCUACGGGAGGCAGCAGUAGGGAAUCUUCCGCAAUGGACGCAAGUCUGAUGGAGCAACGCCGCGUGAGUGAAGAAGGUUUUCGGAUCGUAAAACUCUGUUGUUAGAGAAGAACAAGUGCUAGAGUAACUGUUAGCGCCUUGACGGUAUCUAACCAGAAAGCCACGGCUAACUACGUG
Molecule: ribosomal RNA, 498 nt
Filed under: uncultured bacterium
Lineage: Bacteria
Description: partial 16S ribosomal RNA
Rfam family: Bacterial small subunit ribosomal RNA
Source: RNAcentral